ACUGAUCGUGGGGAUGGAGUCCCCCGGACAACCGCCUGCAGGGCUGAUGACUCCUACCGGUUU
This 63-nucleotide non-coding RNA is filed under the name Planctomycetota bacterium. Its description in RNAcentral is "Planctomycetes bacterium Fluoride sequence". It matches the Rfam family "Fluoride riboswitch aptamer (crcB RNA motif)". Lineage: Bacteria; Pseudomonadati; Planctomycetota. The record is from RNAcentral.